This 492-nucleotide ribosomal RNA is filed under the name uncultured bacterium. RNAcentral describes it as "partial 16S ribosomal RNA". It matches the Rfam family "Bacterial small subunit ribosomal RNA", at positions 29 to 507 of the family's 1533-position model. The record is from RNAcentral.
AUUGAACGCUGGCGGCAUGCUUUACACAUGCAAGUCGAACGGUAACAGGCCUUCGGGUGCUGACGAGUGGCGAACGGGAGAGUAAUGCAUCGGAACGUACCCAGAGGUGGGGGAUAACGCAGCGCAAGCUGUGCUAAUACCGCAUGUGAUCUGAGGAUGAAAGCGGGGGACCGAGCAGCAAUGUUUGGCCUCGCGCCUUUGGAGCGGCCGAUGUCGGAUUAGCUAGUUGGUGGGGUAAAGGCCUACCAAGGCGACGAUCCGUAGCUGGUCUGAGAGGACGACCAGCCACACUGGGACUGGGACACGGCCCAGACUCCUACGGGAGGCAGCAGUGGGGAAUUGUGGACAAGGGGCGCAAGCCUGAUCCAGCAAUGCCGCGGGCGGGAAGAAGGCCUUCGGGUUGUAAACCGUUUUUGGCAGGAACGAAACGGUGUCCGCUAAUACCGGGCGCUAAUGACGGUACCUGCAGAAUAAGCACCGGCUAACUACGUG